Molecule: ribosomal RNA, 498 nt
Filed under: uncultured bacterium
Lineage: Bacteria
Description: partial 16S ribosomal RNA
Rfam family: Bacterial small subunit ribosomal RNA
Source: RNAcentral
GGACGAACGCUGGCGGCAUGCCUAAUACAUGCAAGUCGAACGCUGAAGCACUCUGCUUGCAGAGUGCGGAUGAGUGGCGACCGGGUGAGUAACACGUGGGAAAUCUGCCUAUAAGAGGGGGAUAACAUUCGGAAACGGAUGCUAAUACCGCAUAUAUUCUUGGACCGCCUGGUCCUUGAAAGAAAGACGGCUUUGCUGUCGCUUAUAGAUGAUCCCGCGGCGUAUUAGUUAGUUGGUGGGGUAAAGGCCUACCAAGACAAUGAUACGUAGCCGACCUGAGAGGGUGAUCGGCCACACUGGGACUGAGACACGGCCCAGACUCCUACGGGAGGCAGCAGUAGGGAAUCUUCCACAAUGGGCGAAAGCCUGAUGGAGCAAUGCCGCGUGAAUGAAGAAGGUCUUCGGAUCGUAAAGUUCUGUUAUUAGAGAAGAACAAGUCAAGGAGUAACUGUCUUGACUUUGACGGUACCUAACCAGAAAGUCACGGCUAACUACGUG